RNAcentral lists this ribosomal RNA (540 nucleotides) under Bifidobacterium animalis subsp. lactis. RNAcentral describes it as "bacterial SSU rRNA". It matches the Rfam family "Bacterial small subunit ribosomal RNA", at positions 162 to 704 of the family's 1533-position model. The record is from RNAcentral. Lineage: Bacteria; Bacillati; Actinomycetota; Actinomycetes; Bifidobacteriales; Bifidobacteriaceae.
GGUAAUACCGGAUGCUCCGCUCCAUCGCAUGGUGGGGUGGGAAAUGCUUUUGCGGCAUGGGAUGGGGUCGCGUCCUAUCAGCUUGUUGGCGGGGUGAUGGCCCACCAAGGCGUUGACGGGUAGCCGGCCUGAGAGGGUGACCGGCCACAUUGGGACUGAGAUACGGCCCAGACUCCUACGGGAGGCAGCAGUGGGGAAUAUUGCACAAUGGGCGCAAGCCUGAUGCAGCGACGCCGCGUGCGGGAUGGAGGCCUUCGGGUUGUAAACCGCUUUUGUUCAAGGGCAAGGCACGGUUUCGGCCGUGUUGAGUGGAUUGUUCGAAUAAGCACCGGCUAACUACGUGCCAGCAGCCGCGGUAAUACGUAGGGUGCGAGCGUUAUCCGGAUUUAUUGGGCGUAAAGGGCUCGUAGGCGGUUCGUCGCGUCCGGUGUGAAAGUCCAUCGCCUAACGGUGGAUCUGCGCCGGGUACGGGCGGGCUGGAGUGCGGUAGGGGAGACUGGAAUUCCCGGUGUAACGGUGGAAUGUGUAGAUAUCGGAAAA